This 465-nucleotide long non-coding RNA is filed under the name Carica papaya (papaya). Its description in RNAcentral is "long non-coding RNA (CPAP_LNC009158)". Lineage: Eukaryota; Viridiplantae; Streptophyta; Magnoliopsida; Brassicales; Caricaceae. The record is from RNAcentral.
UCUCCACAGAACCUGCAAAAAGCUUCAUACCAUUGCCUGGAUAAGUAGUCGGAGCGUGAAUGAGACGGCCAGCAACAUUCAUCUCGUUCAAUCGGCAAACACCACUGCCUCCAGGAAUGUGUGAGCAAGGUGAACCAUCGGAUGGAGGCACGGGACCUCUUUGUAAUAACUCAAACUCUGGAACAUAUUUCUUAAACAGUUGGUCUCCAUGUAAAGGCCUUGUGGCUGCACAGAAUUGAACUAAUGUACCAUAACUAAAAAGAAUAGUUAGUGCAAACAAAAAAGUCAACAGGCUUCUUAUGAUAUGAAACUCCAUUUUCUUUUUCUUUUUUGUUAGUCUUUGGGCGAAUGUCGAAUUGAAUUGCGAAGAGAAUCUUGUGAUGGAAAUUUAAGUUUUAUGAAGAUUGUUUUGGAAUGUGUUUGUAUAAACGUUUUAAUUAGUUUAUAUAGGAAGUGAUAUCUCUU